Homo sapiens (human) is the source of this 909-nucleotide long non-coding RNA. Ensembl annotates it as RBPMS antisense RNA 1. Its record names the gene RBPMS-AS1. The record is from Ensembl. NCBI's taxonomy places the organism in Eukaryota, Metazoa, Chordata, Mammalia, Primates, Hominidae.
AUUAUACUUACAAAAGUCUCCGAAAAGUCCUUGGAGUUACGCAAUUUGGGGCCCGCAGACGCGCGUGGACACAAAAACACACGCUCCCGAGAUCCACCCUCCCCGGGCCACACUGUGGGGCUGCGUCCGGGGCACGGGCCAUGCCUGAACCUUCUUCCACCGCCGCGCCCCGGGCCCGCGCCCCGCCGGCCGCCCGCACUGGGUCCCGCGUCGCCCCCGCCACCACACCGAGCCGCCCAGUACCUCCUCCUCCUGAAGGCAGAGCUGGGGGUCCGUACGGAGGAACUUCAGAGGCUGGAAGCACGCUUGAAAAAGAAAGGGGGCCUGGGCUUUGCACCAGCUUCAGGAUUGCGUACUUGUUUCCUCAUCCGUGAAAUGGGAGCAGCUGAAUGUGUCUCCUCGAGUUUUCGAGGGGAACAAACAUGUAUCCUGGAUGAAAAUAAACCAACUCUUGAAACUGCAACCCAAGACAUUCAGAAGAGAUAAGGCUACAGUGAAUGUGGAAACUUUGCACGUGUUUGGAUGUAUUGAUUGCCUUAACUGGCAGCUCUUUGCACUGCCAGCUUCCCUCAAUUACAUGAGGAACCACGAGGGGGCAAUGUCUUCCCGAGCAAUAAUAGCUGAGUGGUGGUCUUAGGACCCCGUGGUGGCCCAUGAUGCUAGCACUGUGUCUUUGGCCAUUCUUGCCUGUCAUGGAGCAUACUCCACAGAAGGGCAUGGUCUUCUUGGAUCCCGGCAUGGGCCCAACAAAAAUGACAAUGUAGUCAAUAGUUCCACUCAGACCUCACUUAGGAGCAGGUGAACUAUGUUGUGUGAUAUCAGGAUGCCCGGAGAACCUCUCCUAUCCCCACCCAGGGAAGCAUGGCUUAAUUCCAAAUAAAGAAUCUGAUUUCUUUGUCUUUAAGCCAA